RNAcentral lists this ribosomal RNA (1660 nucleotides) under uncultured soil eukaryote. RNAcentral describes it as "partial small subunit ribosomal RNA". It matches the Rfam family "Eukaryotic small subunit ribosomal RNA", at positions 308 to 1795 of the family's 1831-position model. The record is from RNAcentral.
UGAUCCAUCAAUUUGUUUGUGGUAUCUUUGACUACAAAGUUUAUCACGGAUAACGAAAGAUCAGGGUUUGAUUUCGGAGAAAAAGCAUGAGAGUCGGCUUUUACUUCUAAGGGAGGCAGCAGGCGCGUAAAUUAUUCAAUAUCGAUUCGAUGAAAUAGUGACUAGGAAUAUCAGAAUAGGAAAUUAUAUUUGCUGUGUUUGGAAUGUGUACAAUGUAAAAACCUUAACGAGGAACCAUUAGAGGGCAAGUCUGGUGCCAGCAUCCGCGGUAAUUCCAGCUCUAAGAGUGUAUUUGAAAGUUGUUGUGGUUAAAAAGCUCGUAGUUGAAAGUAGGAUAUUAGUUUAGAGUCAGUAAAUUCUGACUAAAAUGAACGAUGUUCAUAGGUUUAGGUGAUAUGUGGACGCAAGGAAGCAUAUUCUGUAUGAGGAAAUUACGUAAGGAAGAUAGUUAUAUAGAUCCGGAGCUUCGGCGAAGGAAAUUUAAAUGAGAUUCGCUUCGAAUAAAUUAGAGUGUUCAAAACAAGCUUUAAGCUUGAAUAUAUUAGCAUGGUACGACGAAAAUGACAGUAAUUACAUAGUGACAGUCUAUUUAGACGGAGAUUUUUAGGACUCUUAAAGGUACGAAUAGAUCAAGAACCUUUAUAGAAUGCAAUUGUUGUGAUGAUUAACAGGGGCAGUUGGAGUAAUUAUUAUUGUAUGGGAAGGGGUGAAAUCCUAUGAUCCAUACAAGAAUAACUAAUGCGAAGGCAUUUUACUAGAAUGUUUUCAUUAAUCAAGAACUAAGGAUAUGGGAGCCAAGAUGAUUAGAUACCGUUGUAGUCAUAUCUGUAAACGUCAUAUCUGUAAACUAUGUUGAUUUAGGAUAAGAAGUUGUUAUACGUAUGACUCUUCUUGCACUGUACGAGAAAUCAAAAUAUCCAAACUCCAGGGGGAUUAUGGACUCAAGUCUGAAACUUAAAAGAAUUGACGGAAGGGCACCACCAGGUGUGGAGCUUGUGGCUUAAUUUGACUCAACACGGGGAAACUUACUAGGUCAGGAAAUUUAAAGGAUUGACAGAUUGAUAGCUCUUUCAUGAUAGAAUUAGUAGUGGUGCAUGGCCGUUUUUAGUUGGUGUUUUGAAAUGUCUGGUUAAUUCUGAUAACGAACGAGACCUCAGUUUAUUAAAUAGCGUUGAGGUGGGAACGAUUUAAGAUGAGUAUACCAAAUGUAUGUUUGGGUCAGAAAGUCUAUGUUUAUACUUAUAAAGCUUCUUAGAAAUACAAUUCAUGUUUAAAUGAAUGGAAGAGAGACAAUAACAGGUCUGUGAUGCCCUUAGAUGUUCUAGGCUGCACGCGUGUUACAAUGAAAUGAACAAUGAGUUAUCGAAUCUUAAGAGAUUUAGGGAAUCUUGCAAACAAUUUCGUGAUGGGGAUUGUGUUUUGCAAUUAUCGCACAUGAACGAGGAAUACCUUGUAUUAGUAAUGUAAUCAACAAACUGAGAAUAAGUCCCUGCCCUUUGUACACACCGCCCGUCGCUGCUACCGACGGAAUUUGGAGAUGAGGACUUAAGACGUAGGAAAGGAUGGUAAUAUGUAAUGUAGCUAUUUAGUGAUAUGUAAAAAUAACAUUUUGAUGAAAUUUGUUCGAAUCUUGUAAUUUGAAGGAAGCAGAAGUCGUAAC